ACUGGGAAUAGUCUUGACCGGAACAAGCGAUGGCGAUAGUCAACAAGAAGACCAAGCAAAGUUUAAAGGUUGUAGUCAACAAAGCCAAAGACUAAGCACUUAGUAAAGCGUAAACAAGCGUCACUUUAUUAGCCGUAGUUAUCAACAAAGGCGAAGACUAAACAAGAUUAGCAGUAGUAGGCUAUACAGCAUAUCCUUUGGCGCGAUUGACUUACAACGAAGGCGAAGACCAGGUAAAAGCAAGCUUCUCUUAUUUAUCCUUUCCCGCGCGAUUGACUUACAACGAAGGCGAAGACCAGGUAAAAGCAAGCUUCUCUUAUUUAUCCUUUCCCGCGCGAUUGACUUACAACGAAGGCGAAGACCAGGUAAAAGCAAGCUUCUCUUAUUAGUUUACAGUGUAUCCUUUCCCGCGCGAUUGACUUAGAAUUCCUCCACUUCCAAGGCAUCCUUGAGAACUUCAUACACCUCUCUGGGUC
RNAcentral lists this long non-coding RNA (476 nucleotides) under Selaginella moellendorffii. RNAcentral's name for it is "long non-coding RNA (SMOE_LNC000220)". The record is from RNAcentral. Lineage: Eukaryota; Viridiplantae; Streptophyta; Lycopodiopsida; Selaginellales; Selaginellaceae.